RNAcentral lists this ribosomal RNA (333 nucleotides) under uncultured eukaryote. Its description in RNAcentral is "partial 18S ribosomal RNA". It matches the Rfam family "Eukaryotic small subunit ribosomal RNA", at positions 1470 to 1796 of the family's 1831-position model. The record is from RNAcentral.
CCCUUAGAUGUCCGGGGCUGCACGCGCGCUACACUGAAUGAAUCAGCGUGCUAGAAAACCUUGUUUGACAUGGCUAGGUAACCCAUUGAAAAUCAUUCGUGAUUGGGAUCGGGACUUGCAAAUGUGUCCCUUGAACGAGGAAUUCCCAGUAAGUGCGGGCCAUCAGCUCGCGUUGAUUACGUCCCUGCCCUUUGUACACACCGCCCGUCGCUACUACCGAUUGAAUGGUUUAGUGAGAUUUUUGGACUGGAACUCUCUUGUUCAGCAAUGAACGAGAGGGACUCUGGGAAGCUAUUCUAACUGUAUCAUUUAGAGGAAGUAAAAGUCGUAACA